Cyprinus carpio carpio is the source of this 2152-nucleotide long non-coding RNA. The record is from Ensembl. Lineage: Eukaryota; Metazoa; Chordata; Actinopteri; Cypriniformes; Cyprinidae.
CAAUUCGGCAUUCAGCAAAAUACAACGUAGAACAUAGAACUUUUAUGAACAAAAUGAAUAAAAAUACACCAUGCUAUAUGCCUAAUAUAAAAUAAGAAAUAACUUACACAAAGUUUAGGUAUACAGAACUGAAGUUCAGUAAACACUGUGAAACCAAAUUAAUAACAAAAUAAACGUAUGUUAUUAGCAAAAUGAAUAAGAAAGCUGGGUGACAUGGCAUGUAAAAAAAAAAAUACACAGUUUAAAUAAAUAAAAAUCAACAAACACUUUGGAGCCAAAUAAGUAAGAAAUGAAUGUUUAAAAACUCCUAAUAUCACCUUAGAUAAAUGGAAGAAGUCAACAGGCUUUUCAAAAUCCAAAAUAUUUUUCUCACCUCACUCUUCUUGUCAGCUUCUCCUCAUGUGACUGUCGGCAUGCUGCAUUGAGCAGCCGCAUUCAGUUUUAAUUGUAGUGUCUGUUCUCUAACUGAACUAAAUUAUUUUUAUGACUAUAAAAUAUCAAAACGACGGUGGGGGCGGUGACAUUGGGCAAGUGACAUAACCGGUGUUGCGGCUUCACACCGGUAAAACGUCAACUCCCUCUAACGCAGCAACCCUAGUUGACACCAGCUCAUCUGUGUCAGAGGGAAGACAGAGACCAGAAAACCAGAAGAGAAAUUAGACUAAGUCAAGACUGAGACCAGAAGAGAGAUUAGUCUGAGUCAAGACUGAGACCAGAAGAGGGCUGAGUUCAGUAUCAAGACCAGAAGAAGGUUUAAUUUGAGUCAAGACCGAGACCAAAAGAGGGUCAAGUUUGUGUCAAGCCUGAGAUCAGAAGAAGGUUUAGUUUGGUCUCAAGACAGAGACCUGAAAAGGGAUGAGUCUGAGUCUGGACUGAGACCAGAAAAGGGUUUAGUCUGAGUCAAGACUGAAACCAGAAAAAGUUUGAGUUUGAGUCAAGAAUGAGAACAGAAGAGAGAUGAGUCAAAUUCAUGAUUGACCAGAAGAGGGUUGAGCCUGAGUCUGGACUGAGACCAGAAGAGAGACGAGUCUUAAUCUGGACUGAGACCAGUAGAGAGAUGAGUCUGAGUCAAGACUGAGACCAGAAGAGAAAUGAGUCUGAAUCUGGACUGAGACCAGAAGAGGGCUGAGUUCAGUCUCAAGACCAGAAGAAGGUUUAAUUUGAGUCAAGACUGAGACCAGAAGAGAGAUAUGUCUGAGUCUAGACUGAGACCAGACGAGGGUUAAGGUUGAGUCAAGACUGAGACCAGAAGAAGGUUCAGUUUGGUCUCAAGACAGAGACCUGAAAAAGGAUGAGUCUGAGUCUGGACUGAGAACAGAAGAGGGUUGUGUCUGAGUCUGGACUGCGACCAGAAGAGGGUUGAGUCUGAGUCAAAACCAGUAGAGAGAUGAGUCUGAAUCAAGACUGAGACCAGAAGAGAGAGGAGUUUGUAUCUGGACUGAGAUCAGAAGAGGUUUGAGUUUGAGUCAAGAACCGGACCAGAAGAAGGUUCAGUUUGGUCUCAAGACAGAGACCAGAAAAGGGAUGAGUCUGAGUCAUGACUGAGACCAGAAGAGGGUUGAGCUAGAGUCAAGAUUGAGGCCAGAAGAGAGAUGAGUCUAAAUCUAGACUGUGACCAGAAGAGAGAUGAGUCUGAGUCCAGACUUAGACAAAAAAAGGUUGAGUUCGAUCUCAAGACUGAGACCAGAAGAAGGUUGAAUUAAAAUCAAGACAGAAUCCACAUGGUUACGGCUCCAUGACAGGGCUAACAUGAAACAUGAAAACAUUAAAAUAUGGUUGAGGUCUUGUCAUGGACUUGAGUACUCAUGGACUAGGACUCAACCCAUUUUUAGUGAAUUCAGAUUUGUUUGCUAUCUGUUCAUUUACAUCAUAACCUAAUGAAUCACUCAUACUUUACAUUUCGUUCAAAGUACACUUUUUACUUUUUUAUUUAUCAAUUCUUGCUUUCCCUGGGAAUCAAACCCAUGACCUUGGUGUUGCUAGUGCCAUGCUCAAAUGUUUGAGGACUUUUCCUAACAUAAAGCCAUUAUUUCUUUGGAAGACUUACAGCACAUAAGUAAUAUGGACCACCUUUAUAAUUCUUUAUAGUUUUGUUCCAUUUUUUAAGCUUAAAAUCUCUCCGUUCAUUGAAAAAUCUCCAUUUGUGUUUUGU